GCCAGGUUAGUUUAAUUGGUCAAAACGUUAAUUUCAUGCAUUAAUAAUGAGAAUUCGAAUUUCUCUCCUGGCU
Molecule: non-coding RNA, 73 nt
Organism: Lasallia pustulata
Lineage: Eukaryota; Fungi; Ascomycota; Lecanoromycetes; Umbilicariales; Umbilicariaceae
Source: Rfam